UUGUCGGUAGUGUAGUGGACUACCGAGGUUUUUACGGGUGACGGGGGAUCAGGGUUCGAUUCCGGAGAGGGAGCCUGAGAAACGGCUACCACAUCCAAGGAAGGCAGCAGGCGCGCAAAUUACCCAAUCCAGACAAUGGGAGGUGGUGACGAAAAGUACCGGAUGACGAUCAAUGAUUGUCAAUUCGGAAUGGAAUCAAUUUAAGCAAUUGGUUGAGAAACGACUGGAGGGCAAGUCUGGUGCCAGCAGCCGCGGUAAUUCCAGCUCCAGUAGCGUAUCUCAAAGUUGCUGCGCUUAAAACGCUCGUAGUUGGAUCACAAACUAUGCAACGGUUGAUAUGACGGUAAGUCAAAAAUGAAGAUUUGGCAGUAUGUCAUCAUAUUGUUGAUGAUUCAUCUGGGUUAUCGUGAUAUCAUAAGCUGGGGUGUAGUAAUUGCAUGUGAGGAUAGAUAUUGGCCUUGAGUGAGCUGAUGUUUGUGUCUCGCAGAGUGUGCCUUGAGUAAAUCAGAGUGCUUAAAGCAGGCUUGACGCUUGAAUGUUAUAGCAUGGAACGAACAAUCGUGUAUGGUGUAUAUUGGGUAUUGAUUGGUAGACUCGUUUAUCAAUCAUCAAUGUACGACACCGACCACCAAUGAACGGAUGUUGGUUCCGUCAUGGGGUAUCGAUUAAGAGGAGCGGUUGGGGGCAUUGGUAUUUGGCAGCGAGAGGUGAAAUUCUUGGACCUGUCAAGGACUAACAAAUGCGAAGGCAUCUGUCCAGACCGUAUCCAUUAAUCAAGAACGAUAGUGAGAGGUUCGAAGACGAUCAGAUACCGUCCUAGUUCUCACCGUAAACUAUGCCGACCCGG
This 847-nucleotide ribosomal RNA is filed under the name Myxobolus episquamalis. Its description in RNAcentral is "SSU rRNA". It matches the Rfam family "Eukaryotic small subunit ribosomal RNA", at positions 322 to 1050 of the family's 1831-position model. Lineage: Eukaryota; Metazoa; Cnidaria; Myxozoa; Bivalvulida; Myxobolidae. The record is from RNAcentral.